UGGGGGAUAUUGCACAAUGGGGGAAACCCUGAUGCAGCGACGCCGCGUGGAGGAAGAAGGUUUUCGGAUUGUAAACUCCUGUCGUUAGGGACGAUAAUGACGGUACCUAACAAGAAAGCACCGGCUAACUACGUGCCAGCAGCCGCGGUAAAACGUAGGGUGCAAGCGUUGUCCGGAAUUACUGGGUGUAAAGGGAGCGCAGGCGGGAAGACAAGUUGGAAGUAAAAACCAUGGGCUCAACCCAUGAAUUGCUUUCAAAACUGUUUUUCUUGAGUAGUGCAGAGGUAGAUGGAAUUCCCGGUGUAGCGGUGGAAUGCGUAGAUAUCGGGAGGAACACCAGUGGCGAAGGCGGUCUACUGGGCACCAACUGACGCUGAGGCUCGAAAGCAUGGGUAGCAAACAGGAUUAGAUACCCUGGUAGUCCAUGCCGUAAACGAUGAUUACUAGGUGUUGGGGGAUUGACCCCCUCAGUGCCGCAGUUAACACAAUAAGUAAUCCACCUGGGGAGUACGACCGCAAGGUUGAAACUCAAAGGAAUUGACGGGGGCCCGCACAAGCAGUGGAGUAUGUGGUUUAAUUCGAAGCAACGCGAAGAACCUUACCAGGUCUUGACAUCCGAUGCAUAACACAGAGAUGUGUGAAAUCCUUCGGGACAUCGAGACAGGUGGUGCAUGGUUGUCGUCAGCUCGUGUCGUGAGAUGUUGGGUUAAGUCCCGCAACGAGCGCAACCCUUAUUGCCAGUUACUACGUUAAGAGGACUCUGGCGAGACUGCCGUUGACAAAACGGAGGAAGGUGGGGAUGACGUCAAAUCAUCAUGCCCUUUAUGACCUGGGCUACACACGUACUACAAUGGCGUUAAACAAAGAGAAGCAAGACCGCGAGGUGGAGCAAAACUCAAAAACAGCGUCUCAGUUCAGAUUGCAGGCUGCAACUCGCCUGCAUGAAGUCGGAAUUGCUAGUAAUCGCGGAUCAGCAUGCCGCGGUGAAUACGUUCCC
RNAcentral lists this ribosomal RNA (997 nucleotides) under uncultured bacterium. Its description in RNAcentral is "bacterial SSU rRNA". It matches the Rfam family "Bacterial small subunit ribosomal RNA", at positions 355 to 1375 of the family's 1533-position model. The record is from RNAcentral.